Non-coding RNA from Desmophyllum pertusum, 81 nucleotides. The record is from the annotation of a GenBank genome assembly. Lineage: Eukaryota; Metazoa; Cnidaria; Anthozoa; Scleractinia; Caryophylliidae.
GGCUUGAUAGCUCAGUUGGUAAGAGGCUAAGAGCAUUGCACCGGCAUCAUAAGGUUACGGGUUCGAAUCCCGUUCAAUCCU